Amphiprion ocellaris (clown anemonefish) is the source of this 1042-nucleotide long non-coding RNA. Lineage: Eukaryota; Metazoa; Chordata; Actinopteri; Pomacentridae. The record is from Ensembl.
AUUAUUAUUAUCAAUGUUUAUUUAUAUAUAGAUGGAUACAAAUGAAAUUCAUUCACAUUUACUACAAUAUUAUAUAUAGUACAAGUGUACCUGACUGAGUCCCUAUAGUAUUAUGUACAGUAUAAUCAGCAAAAUAGAUAUAUUACACAGUUUUCUGUUUGUUGUAUACUGACAUCACUGCUGUGUACACACACACACAUUUAUCUUGCUGUUUACCUACAUUUGCUACAUCAUAUAUAAUAGUUAUACCUAACAUGUAAACAUUAAUUGCCCAUAAUAUAUACAGUAUAAUACAAAUAUACUUGAGUAGUGUAAAUGUUAAGGUUAAGACCCUUAAAUAUAAUUUUUAUACAAAUGUACAAGAUAAUUUUGAGACCCUGCAAGAUUCAUUGUAUAAAUUUGCCUAACUAAUUGCCAUGUUAAGACCCUGUAAUGAUAUUUAUUACUCCGCCAAAGAACGGCAGAGUUAUGCACGAUCAGUGUACGUCUGUCUGUCUGAAAUAUUACUCAGAAACAGAUAAACAGAUUUGGAUGAAAUUUUCAGGGGAAGUCAGAAAUGACACAAGGAGCACCUCAUUACAUUCUCACAGUGAUGCGGCUUACAGUCUGGAUCCACGGAUUUGUUAAGGAUUUCCCAUUGCGAGAUAUAGCUGCCGACACGGCGUCACUGUAACCGACAAAGUUCACAACACAAUGAAUUAGUUCCUAAAACACUCUCAAUGCUGGAGAGCAUUUGUGAUGCUGAAGCAGUGAGCAGUUUUUCUGUUUCUUCUCUGGAGAUGCACAAUGAGGGACGUCUGCAGCGACUGAGAAAGAGUCUCACCACAUCCUGACAUGAGGAAAAAGACUUUAUUGAAGACUAGAAUGAGUAAAACUAUCAGACAGCAGACGGCUGCAUUCAAGUCUGUAGCUGCUGAAUUCAUGGAUGAAUCAUCUGGCACUAGAGAGAAAGACCAUCAAACAUCCACGUCAGCUGAUGGAGGUCCAAGAGUCUCACCCAACAAACAACCUACAGAGUGAAGACCUCGAAUCUGAUUGGACA